AGAACAUGCGCGUGUGUGUGAGUGAGUGUAUCACACAGUGUUGGUAGCUCCUUGGGUGUUGUUUUCAUCAUCGAUUUUUUCCAGGUUAUCCUCUCUCUCCUCCAGUCGGUUUGUACUUGCUGUUCUCUGUGACAUGCCAGUUCUUUCUCUUGCUCACUCUAGACCCCCGUAGCUGUGUUGGUAUUUUCCUUUGCUGGCUCACUGGGGUGUGUGUUCAGCUGUGGAGGAUCUACGGCAGGCUGGCAUUUUCUCAAAGAAUAGAGGAUUUGGACCCUUGUUUAUUCCUCCGCGGCUCUUCGAGCACUGGAGCGAUGAGCCCAAAGAAACUCCCACGGGCAGGUGCGGCUUCUCCCUCGGUGGUCCUUGGAUUCCCAUAAGUUCUCUGCUUCUGUUGUCACCAAGAUCUUCCUGCUGGAGAAGCAGA
This 424-nucleotide long non-coding RNA is filed under the name Equus caballus (horse). Its description in RNAcentral is "lncRNA (ENSECAG00000052314.1)". The record is from RNAcentral. Lineage: Eukaryota; Metazoa; Chordata; Mammalia; Perissodactyla; Equidae.